GAUGUCUUGUUGCAAGUCUUUCUGUUUGUAUUUCCUAUAUUUUGGUUAGAGGGUUAGAGAGGUGUUUUAUAUUUUUGACGUGGAGGUCUUUAUAAAAGCCUUAUUGUAAAAACCUUGACCAUUAUAGUGCAUUUGCUUCCUGGAUUGGAAGGACACUGGAUGUAGGCAUUGAGGUCGAACCAGUAUAAAAACCUGCUUUUGAAUUCUCUAUCCCUACACUUUUACAUUCAAUCGACUCUGUUAUUUAUGUAGUUUACUUUUAUUUUCCGCUGCACUUACUUUUUCAAUACUUGCGAUUCAAGAAAUUGUUUAAAGUUUUAUACUUUGUGAAAAAGAUUGCGAAAAGACUAUGAUUUUGAAAACUCACCAAUU
RNAcentral lists this long non-coding RNA (372 nucleotides) under Vigna radiata. Its description in RNAcentral is "long non-coding RNA (VRAD_LNC008003)". Lineage: Eukaryota; Viridiplantae; Streptophyta; Magnoliopsida; Fabales; Fabaceae. The record is from RNAcentral.